RNAcentral lists this ribosomal RNA (301 nucleotides) under uncultured bacterium. RNAcentral describes it as "partial 16S ribosomal RNA". It matches the Rfam family "Bacterial small subunit ribosomal RNA", at positions 509 to 807 of the family's 1533-position model. The record is from RNAcentral.
CAGCAGCCGCGGGAAUACCGAGGGUGCGAGCGUUAAUCGGAUUUACUGGGCGUAAAGCGUGCGUAGGCGGCUUUUUAAGUCGGAUGUGAAAUCCCUGAGCUUAACUUAGGAAUUGCAUUCGAUACUGGGAAGCUAGAGUAUGGGAGAGGAUGGUAGAAUUCCAGGUGUAGCGGUGAAAUGCGUAGAGAUCUGGAGGAAUACCGAUGGCGAAGGCAGCCAUCUGGCCUAAUACUGACGCUGAGGUACGAAAGCAUGGGGAGCAAACAGGAUUAGAUACCCGGGUAGUCCCUGUCUCUUAUAC